RNAcentral lists this transfer RNA (72 nucleotides) under Amblychaeturichthys hexanema. RNAcentral's name for it is "tRNA-Gly". The record is from RNAcentral. Lineage: Eukaryota; Metazoa; Chordata; Actinopteri; Gobiiformes; Gobiidae.
AUUUUUCUAGUACUAACGCUAGUAUAAGCGACUUCCAAUUGCCGGGUCUUGGUUAAAAUCCAAGGAAAAAUA